GCUCAGGAUGAACGCUAGCUACAGGCUUAACACAUGCAAGUCGAGGGGUAGCAGGGUAGCAAUACCGCUGACGACCGGCGCACGGGUGAGUAACACGUAUCCAACCUUCCCAUAACUCGGGGAUAGCCUUUCGAAAGAAAGAUUAAUACCCGAUAGUACUUUAUUAAGGCAUCUUAAGAAAGUUAAAGAUUUAUUGGUUAUGGAUGGGGAUGCGUUCCAUUAGAUAGUUGGUGAGGUAACGGCUCACCAAGUCUUCGAUGGAUAGGGGUUCUGAGAGGAAGGUCCCCCACAUUGGUACUGAGACACGGACCAAACUCCUACGGGGGGCAGCAGUGAGGAAUAUUGGUCAAUGGGCGAGAGCCUGAACCAGC
Molecule: ribosomal RNA, 371 nt
Filed under: uncultured Bacteroidales bacterium
Lineage: Bacteria; Pseudomonadati; Bacteroidota; Bacteroidia; Bacteroidales
Description: bacterial SSU rRNA
Rfam family: Bacterial small subunit ribosomal RNA
Source: RNAcentral